This 37-nucleotide non-coding RNA is filed under the name Trypanosoma brucei brucei. Lineage: Eukaryota; Euglenozoa; Kinetoplastea; Trypanosomatida; Trypanosomatidae. The record is from RNAcentral.
ACGCCCCGACUAAGGGGUAGAAAUACAGUUAAAUGAU